This 388-nucleotide ribosomal RNA is filed under the name Haptolina sp. RNAcentral's name for it is "partial small subunit ribosomal RNA". It matches the Rfam family "Eukaryotic small subunit ribosomal RNA", at positions 582 to 975 of the family's 1831-position model. Lineage: Eukaryota; Haptophyta; Prymnesiales; Prymnesiaceae. The record is from RNAcentral.
AUUCCAGCUCCAAUAGCGUAUAUUAAAGUUGUUGCAGUUAAAACGCUCGUAGUCGGAUUUCGGGGCCUGCCUGCCGGUCUGCCGAUGGGUAUGCACUGGCAGGCGCGUCCUUCCUUCCGGAGACUGUCCCUACUCUUAACUGAGCGGGGUCGGGAGACGGAUCGUUUACUUUGAAAAAAUCAGAGUGUUUCAAGCAGGCAGCUCGCUCUUGCAUGGAUUAGCAUGGGAUAAUGAAGUAGGACUUUGGUGCUAUUUUGUUGGUUUGUGCACCAUGGUAAUGAUUAAUAGGGACAGUUGGGGGUAUUCGUAUUCCAUUGUCAGAGGUGAAAUUCUUGGAUUUAUGGAAGACGAACUACUGCGAAAGCAUUUACCAAGGAUGUUUUCAUCA